UUCACCUGCAUCUGCCGAGAUCUUCAGUUUCAUCUUAGAAACCCUAAACCAACCCACCAUCCACCGCUACACCAUCCAUCUCGGGCACCACCGAAUCCGGCCACCGAGCACCUCUCCACACUCCUUUAGGCUUUAACCAUUUCCCCACAACAAUUUCGCCAGAAAACCUCACUUCCCAACAGAGACUGUCAUCGUCUCCGGUCGCACCACCGUCGCCAAACGGCGGAUAUGAUGUGUCAAACUUUUUUCAAAGAGAGACAUGCCAGGUUGUAAAGCACCACUAUUGGAAACACCGCCAUCAUCUCCGGUCGCACCACCACCGCUAAUAUGUGCUUAAAAGCUGUCUAGGGUUUUCAUUUGGUCACAGUGUACUAUAACGGAAGUUGAUAUCGGCAUGCCGGAGCCUGGUGAUUCGAUCGUAAAGAAGCCUAAACACGAUCAUAAAUUGUCUAGGGUUUUCAUCAGUUCAGCAUCCUAUUGCAUGACGUGCUAUCUCUCUCCGCAUAGUCUCUGCCGGUAGCCAGAACGGUGGUUGUGGGCGCAGGAAAAGAGAGUGACGACAGUGACGGUAAGGUCCUGGUAGUGAUGUCUCCGUCGAUGGUUUGACCAUGUGCUUCGCUACGAACAACUGCGCACUUAGCUAUGUUUUCGAUGGAAUUCUAGCAAGACGAUUUCGCUGGUAAUCAAAUGUAGGUAGUUCAUGGCGUAAGAAUGCUGCAACACUUGAUAGUGAUGAUAGAUAUUGCGAAUUCAUAAUAGAUGAUUUAGUCCGAUUAUAUGAUGAGUUCUGCUGUGGAGGAUGUGCAACUUGGAAAAUAAAGUGUGUUGGAUCAGAGUUUAAACACUUUGUAUGAGAAAAGAUUUGCAACAUUAAUGCUGCAUCAAGAUUUGAAUUUGUAAAGAAGAGGUCUGCUAAAGAGAUAGGUUGCAUUAUCGGUGCUCGUGAGACGCCUGUGUGAGAACUGUUGAAUAUGGGUUGCAUCAUAAUUCACAUUGUUGCUUAAGUUUCUUUAUUAAACUGAUGUAUCAUCCAAAAUUGUUAACUUGGGAUGAAACAUAAUUAACCUUAUGUUGUUAGUAGUUAAAAGAAAAUUAUAAGAGUUGUUCAUGUUAAUGAUAUGCUAGAAAUGAGGUAAAACAUAGAAACAGUUGUGUCAUACGAUCAGACAAAAAAAGUGUUGAGAUCUUUGAACUGGUGUCGCAGUGGGUACAAAGCAACAGUCGGUGUACAAAGACUAUAGUUGAUUUUGCCAUGCCCUAAUUAAUCUAAGCUAAACAACUAUAAAAAAACAACUGGAAACCCCAAUGUGAAAAAUGAAAAAAGGGGGAAACAGAUAACGUAAGGAAAAGAGAAAAUUAAUCUCAUCUUCAUGCUUGAGAUAUGCAUGACCGUGAACAUAUUUGGUUUCGAACCCAUGUAUGUACACGUCUCCACCUUCAUCAAAUCGUAGGCGUAGCCAUGACUACCCAACACCACCAUAUCAACACCCAGCUUCUCCGCCACAUUGCAGAUCACAUCCCUCGGAACAUCGAUAUCAACUCUCGUCUCUACCUUCACCUACACAAAACAACCCAAUUCACCACCGUCAUCCAUUAGAUUGAUGUUUGUUAUUGAAAUUCAAUAUUUUUGGGAAAAAAAGUGUUAUUCCCAGAUUUUAUUGUUUUCUAUAUCGGACAAGCUUUCUUCUGACCAAAAAA
This 1698-nucleotide long non-coding RNA is filed under the name Helianthus annuus (common sunflower). Lineage: Eukaryota; Viridiplantae; Streptophyta; Magnoliopsida; Asterales; Asteraceae. The record is from RNAcentral.